AGAGUUUGAUCCUGGCUCAGAUUGAACGCUGGCGGCAUGCCUUACACAUGCAAGUCGAACGGUAACAGGGAGCUUGCUCCGCUGACGAGUGGCGAACGGGUGAGUAAUGUAUCGGAACGUACCAUUCAGUGGGGGAUAACGUAGCGAAAGUUACGCUAAUACCGCAUAUUCUGUGAGCAGGAAAGCAGGGGAUCGCAAGACCUUGCGCUGAUUGAGCGGCCGAUAUCAGAUUAGCUAGUUGGUGAGGUAAAAGCUCACCAAGGCGACGAUCUGUAGCGGGUCUGAGAGGAUGAUCCGCCACACUGGAACUGAGACACGGUCCAGACUCCUACGGGAGGCAGCAGUGGGGAAUUUUGGACAAUGGGGGCAACCCUGAUCCAGCCAUGCCGCGUGAGUGAAGAAGGCCUUCGGGUUGUAAAGCUCUUUCAGCCGGGAAGAAAAUGCAUGGGUUAAUACCCUGUGCAGAUGACGGUACCGGAAUAAGAAGCACCGGCUAACUACGUGCCAGCAGCCGCGGUAAUACGUAGGGUGCGAGCGUUAAUCGGAAUUACUGG
RNAcentral lists this ribosomal RNA (554 nucleotides) under uncultured bacterium. RNAcentral describes it as "bacterial SSU rRNA". It matches the Rfam family "Bacterial small subunit ribosomal RNA", at positions 8 to 557 of the family's 1533-position model. The record is from RNAcentral.